This 406-nucleotide ribosomal RNA is filed under the name uncultured bacterium. RNAcentral describes it as "partial 16S ribosomal RNA". It matches the Rfam family "Bacterial small subunit ribosomal RNA", at positions 30 to 526 of the family's 1533-position model. The record is from RNAcentral.
AUUGAACGCUGGCGGCAGGCCUAACACAUGCAAGUCGAACGAGCGGCGGACGGGUGAGUAAUGUCUGGGGAACUGCCCGAUAGAGGGGGAUAACUACUGGAAACGGUAGCUAAUACCGCAUACUAUCGGAUGAGCCCACAUGGGAUUAGCUAGUAGGUGGGGUAAAGGCGAACCUAGGCGAAGAUUUCUAGCUGGUCUGAGAGGAUGAACAGCCACACUGGGACUGAGACACGGCCCAGACUCCUACGGGAGGCAGCAGUGGGGAAUAUUGCACAAUGGGCGCAAGCCUGAUGCAGCCAUGCCGCGUGAGUGAAGAAGGUCUUCGGAUUGUAAAACUCUGUUGUUAGAGAAGCGGUAUCUAACCAGAAAGCCACGGCUAACUCCGUGCCAGCAGCCGCGGUAAUUC